UGGGGGAUAUUGCACAAUGGGCGAAAGCCUGAUGCAGCGACGCCGCGUGGGGGAUGAAGGCCUUCGGGUUGUAAACUUCUUUUGCUCUGAACAAGGCAUGCCUUUGGGGUGUGUUGAGUGUAGGGGUUGAUUAGCGCCGGCUAACUACGUGCCAGCAGCCGCGGUAAUACGUAGGGCGCGAGCGUUGUCCGGAAUUAUUGGGCGUAAAGGACUUGUAGGUGGCUGGUUGCGUCUGUCGUGAAAGCUCAUGGCUUAACUGUGGGUUUGCGGUCGGUACGAGCUGGCUUGAGUGCAGUAGGGGAGGCUGGAAUUCCUGGUGUGGAGGUGGAAUGCGGAGAUAUCAGGAAGAAUACCAGUGGCGAAGGCGGGUCUCUGGGCAGUUACUGACGCUGAGGAGCGAAAGCGUGGGGAGCGAACAGG
This 420-nucleotide ribosomal RNA is filed under the name Fusobacteriota bacterium. RNAcentral describes it as "Fusobacteria bacterium partial 16S ribosomal RNA". It matches the Rfam family "Bacterial small subunit ribosomal RNA", at positions 355 to 776 of the family's 1533-position model. The record is from RNAcentral. Lineage: Bacteria; Fusobacteriati; Fusobacteriota.